UUCUUCUUUUUGGUCCAUUUUUAAACAUAAAGCUUCAUGUCCAUCUGUGUGAGGAGCUCAGAGCAGAGCAGAGCUCCUCUUUACAUUAUGGAUCUUCACUCUUUGUUGGAUUUUUAAACUUUUUUGAGGAUAUACUUUGAAUUGAAUAUAAAAAAUGUAAUUCUCUUUAUAAAAAUAUGUCAGUGCUGUGAUUGGAGGAGCUGAUCACCUGCAGCAUGUGAGCCAAUCAGCAUCAACAAUUUAGUGAAUGUUAUAAAUAAUCCUUUUUCACUAAUAGAACAUCACAAUAAUCCAUUAUUGGUCUUUUUGAAAUUUGGGGCGUGUCCAUCUGAUUCAGCCAGCUAAUCAGAAGUCUUCCUUUGCUCCAGUCCCAGCAGGAGGAAAUGCAAGAAGGACUGUGACGGCACUCGUCUGUGAUUGGUGGCUUCAUCUUCUACUAUAUAAUCCUCCUUCUUCAGGAUUGGUCUUUUUCUUCCUCCACCUGCACUAGGAGCCAAUCAGCAAUCAGUUCUCAUCAGUCUCUACAGUUUAAAGGAUCUCAGGGGAUCUGACGAGCAGGUUCCCCCACUUCAGGUGUUUAGACUAGACUAGACUAGACUAGACUAGUACACUAGACUAGACUAGUACACUAGACUAGACUAGACUAGACUAGACUAGACUAGUACACUAGACUAGACUAGUACACUAGACUAGACUAGUACACUAGACUAGACUAGACUAGUACACUAGACUAGACUAGACUAGACUAGACUAGACUAGUACACUAGACUAGACUAGACUAGUACACUAGACUAGACUAGACUAGACUAGACUAGACUAGACUAGACUAGUACACUAGACUAGACUAGUACACUAGACUAGACUAGACUAGACUAGACUAGUACACUAGACUAGACUAGUACACUAGACUAGACUAGUACACUAGACUAGACUAGUACACUAGACUAGACUAGACUAGACUAGUACACUAGACUAGACUAGUACACUAGACUAGACUAGUACACUAGACUAGACUAGACUAGACUAGACUAGACUAGUACACUAGACUAGACUAGUACACUAGACUAGACUAGACUAGACUAGACUAGUACACUAGACUAGACUAGUACACUAGACUAGACUAGACUAGACUAGACUAGUACACUAGACUAGACUAGUACACUAGACUAGACUAGUACACUAGACUAGACUAGACUAGUACACUAGACUAGACUAGACUAGACUAGUACACUAGACUAGACUAGACUAGACUAGUACACUAGACUAGACUAGAAUAGACUAGAAUAGAAUAGAAUAGAAUAGAAUAGAAUAGAAUAGAAUAGAAUAGACUAGACUAGACUAGACUAGUACACUAGACUAGACUAGACUAGACUAGACUAGUACACUAGACUAGUACACUAGACUAGACUAGACUAGACUAGUACACUAGACUAGACUAGACUAGACUAGACUAGACUAGAAUAGAAUAGAAUAGAAUAGACUAGACUAGU
RNAcentral lists this long non-coding RNA (1490 nucleotides) under Gouania willdenowi (blunt-snouted clingfish). RNAcentral describes it as "lncRNA (ENSGWIG00000010604.1)". Lineage: Eukaryota; Metazoa; Chordata; Actinopteri; Blenniiformes; Gobiesocidae. The record is from RNAcentral.